Molecule: ribosomal RNA, 417 nt
Filed under: uncultured bacterium
Lineage: Bacteria
Description: bacterial SSU rRNA
Rfam family: Bacterial small subunit ribosomal RNA
Source: RNAcentral
UGGGGAAUAUUGGGCAAUGGGCGCAAGCCUGACCCAGCAACGCCGCGUGAAGGAAGAAGGCCCUCGGGUUGUAAACUUCUUUUUGUCAGGGACGAAGCAAGUGACGGUACCUGACGAAUAAGCCACGGCUAACUACGUGCCAGCAGCCGCGGUAAUACGUAGGUGGCAAGCGUUAUCCGGAUUUACUGGGUGUAAAGGGCGUGUAGGCGGGACUGCAAGUCAGAUGUGAAAACCAUGGGCUCAACCCAUGGCCUGCAUUUGAAACUGUAGUUCUUGAGUGUUGGAGAGGCAGGCGGAAUUCCGUGUGUAGCGGUGAAAUGCGUAGAUAUACGGAGGAACACCAGUGGCGAAGGCGGCCUGCUGGACAAUAACUGACGCUGAGGCGCGAAAGCGUGGGGAGCAAACAGGAUAGAUACC